This 300-nucleotide ribosomal RNA is filed under the name uncultured bacterium. RNAcentral describes it as "bacterial SSU rRNA". It matches the Rfam family "Bacterial small subunit ribosomal RNA", at positions 496 to 795 of the family's 1533-position model. The record is from RNAcentral.
GCUAACUCUGUGCCAGCAGCCGCGGUAAUACAGAGGGUGCAAGCGUUGUCCGGAAUUACUGGGCGUAAAGGGCGCGUAGGCGGCCUGAUAAGUAGGGGGUGAAAUCCCGCGGCUCAACCGCGGGGCUGCCUUCUAGACUGUCAGGCUUGAGCACGGUAGAGGCGAAUGGAAUUCCCGGUGUAGCGGUGGAAUGCGUAGAGAUCGGGAAGAACACCAGUGGCGAAGGCGGUUCGCUGGGCCGUUGCUGACGCUGAGGCGCGACAGCGUGGGGAGCAAACAGGAUUAGAUACCCUUGUAGUC